GAUGAACGCUAGCGGCAGGCCUAACACAUACAAGUCGGAAGGGUAACAUUGUGCUUGCACAGAUGACGACCGGCGCACGGGUGCGUAACGCGUAUGCAAUCUACCUUUUACAGUGGGAUAGCCCAGAGAAAUUUGGAUUAAUACCAUAUAGUUUAUUAGAGUGGCAUCACUUUAAUAAUAAAGAUUUAUCGGUAAAAGAUGAGCAUGCGUUCUAUUAGUUAGUUGGUGAGGUAACGGCUUACCAAGACAGCGAUAGAUAGGGGCCCUGAGAGGGGGAUCCCCCACACUGGUACUGAGACACGGACCAGACUCCUACGGGAGGCAGCAGUGAGGAAUAUUGGACAAUGGGCGAGAGCCUGAUCCAGCCAUGCCGCGUGCAGGAAGACUGCCCUAUGGGUUGUAAACUGCUUUUAUACAGGAAGAAACACUGCUACGUGUAGCAGCUUGACGGUACUGUAAGAAUAAGGAUCGGCUAACUCCGUGCCAGCAGCCGCGGUAAUACGGAGGAUCCAAGCGUUAUCCGGAAUCAUUGGGUUUAAAGGGUCCGUAGGUGGAUAAUUAAGUCAGGGGUGAAAUCUUGCAGCUCAACUGUAAAAUUGCCUUUGAUACUGGUUAUCUUGAGUUAUUAUGAAGUAGUUAGAAUAUGUAGUGUAGCGGUGAAAUGCAUAGAUAUUACAUAGAAUACCAAUUGCGAAGGCAGAUUACUAAUAAUCAACUGACACUGAUGAC
This 729-nucleotide ribosomal RNA is filed under the name bacterium IMCC11133. RNAcentral's name for it is "bacterial SSU rRNA". It matches the Rfam family "Bacterial small subunit ribosomal RNA", at positions 28 to 754 of the family's 1533-position model. The record is from RNAcentral.